UAAACAUUGAUAAAUUAUUACAGCUUCAAUUCGCCCGGGUACUACAAGCACUAGCUUAAAACCCAAAGGACUUGGCGGUGCUUAAGAUCCCCCUAGAGGAGCCUGUUCUAGAACCGAUAAUCCACGUUUAACCUCACCCUCUCUUGUUUUUCCCGCCUAUAUACCGCCGUCGUCAGCUUACCCUGUGAAGGUCCAAUAGUGAGCAAAAAUGGCACAGCCCAAAACGUCAGGUCGAGGUGUAGCGCAUGAGAGGGGAAGAAAUGGGCUACAUUCUCUAAAAAUAGAAGCACACGGAUAAUAUAUUGAAACAUAUAUUUUAAGGAGGAUUUAGUAGUAAGUAGAAAUUAGAAUAUUCCACUGAACCCGGCUCUAAAGCGCGCACACACCGCCCGUCACUCUCCCCGAGUCUAAAAAUUUUUCAUUUAAUAAUAAACACCACCAGCAAAGGGGAGGCAAGUCGUAACAUGGUAAGUGUACGGAAGGUGUACCUUGGAUAAAU
This 499-nucleotide ribosomal RNA is filed under the name Betta picta (spotted betta). RNAcentral describes it as "partial 12S ribosomal RNA". It matches the Rfam family "Bacterial small subunit ribosomal RNA", at positions 801 to 1533 of the family's 1533-position model. The record is from RNAcentral. Lineage: Eukaryota; Metazoa; Chordata; Actinopteri; Anabantiformes; Osphronemidae.